GGGGAUGUGCCUGAAAUAAAGGACCACUUUGAUAGAGUGAAUUAUGGAGGUUAAAAUCCCCCCAUCCCCU
Molecule: transfer RNA, 70 nt
Filed under: Citharoides macrolepidotus (large-scale flounder)
Lineage: Eukaryota; Metazoa; Chordata; Actinopteri; Pleuronectiformes; Citharidae
Description: tRNA-Ile
Rfam family: tRNA
About the family: Transfer RNA (tRNA) molecules are approximately 80 nucleotides in length.
Source: RNAcentral